UUUUGCAGAAAUUUUCAAAUUUGUGCAACUGUCUUUAAAGUCAGACUUUGUUACCUGCAUCUUUCCAGAAGUCAGUUCCAUUUUCAAGUCCCUCUGAGACAGGAGAGGAUUUGCAUUUCAGCAGAGAUAACAGCGUGUAAAACGAAAGAAGAAACCAUUCCCACUAGAACUGAAGUUUCUUGUGAAAAUAAGCCAGGAUCACCUAUACUUAAUUCAGGAGUGAGGUUCAGUGAUCUCAGCUGAAUCAUCAAGAAACUUUUACAGCUACUGGAGAAAAUUCUGCUUGUCAACUGCGGUAUGUUGAUAUAUCUCAAAUAUUUCAUUUUUGGGGGCAACGAGACUUGCUUUCUU
This 351-nucleotide long non-coding RNA is filed under the name Coturnix japonica (Japanese quail). Its description in RNAcentral is "lncRNA (ENSCJPG00005010900.1)". Lineage: Eukaryota; Metazoa; Chordata; Aves; Galliformes; Phasianidae. The record is from RNAcentral.